CCCUUUGGGUGUGACUGCGUACCUUUUGUAUAAUGGGUCAGCGACUUAUAUUCUGUAGCAAGGUUAACCGAAUAGGGGAGCCGGAGGGAAACCGAGUCUUAAUUGGGCGUUAAGUUGCAGGGUAUAGACCCGAAACCCGGUGAUCUAGCCAUGGGCAGGUUGAAGGUUGGGUAACACUAACUGGAGGACCGAACCGACUAAUGUUGAAAAAUUAGCGGAUGACCUGUGGCUGGGGGUGAAAGGCCAAUCAAACCGGGAGAUAGCUGGUUCUCCCCGAAAGCUAUUUAGGUAGCGCCUCGUGAAUUCAUCUCCGGGGGUAGAGCACUGUUUCGGCUAGGGGGCCAUCCCGGCUUACCAACCCGAUGCAAACUGCGAAUACCGGAGAAUGUUAUCACGGGAGACACACGGCGGGUGCUAACGUCCGUCGUGAAGAGGGAAACAACCCAGACCGCCAGCUAAGGUCCCAAAGUCAUGGUUAAGUGGGAAACGAUGUGGGAAGGCCCAGACAGCCAGGAUGUUGGCUUAGAAGCAGCCAUCAUUUAAAGAAAGCGUAAUAGCUCACUGGUCGAGUCGGCCUGCGCGGAAGAUGUAACGGGGCUAAACCAUGCACCGAAGCUGCGGCAGCGACACUGUGUGUUGUUGGGUAGGGGAGCGUUCUGUAAGCCUGCGAAGGUGGCCUGUGAGGGUUGCUGGAGGUAUCAGAAGUGCGAAUGCUGACAUAAGUAACGAUAAAGCGGGUGAAAAGCCCGCUCGCCGGAAGACCAAGGGUUCCUGUCCAACGUUAAUCGGGGCAGGGUGAGUCGACCCCUAAGGCGAGGCCGAAAGGCGUAGUCGAUGGGAAACGGGUUAAUAUUCCCGUACUUGGUGUUACUGCGAAGGGGGGACGGAGAAGGCUAUGUUGGCCGGGCGACGGUUGUCCCGGUUUAAGCGUGUAGGUGUGUGUUCCAGGUAAAUCCGGUUCACUUUAACACUGAGGCGUGACGACGAGGCACUACGGUGCUGAAGCAACAAAUGCCCUGCUUCCAGGAAAAGCCUCUAAGCAUCAGGUAACAUCAAAUCGUACCCCAAACCGACACAGGUGGUCAGGUAGAGAAUACCAAGGCGCUUGAGAGAACUCGGGUGAAGGAACUAGGCAAAAUGGUGCCGUAACUUCGGGAGAAGGCACGCUGACACGUAGGUGAAGUGAUUUACUCAUGGAGCUGAAGUCAGUCGAAGAUACCAGCUGGCUGCAACUGUUUAUUAAAAACACAGCACUGUGCAAACACGAAAGUGGACGUAUACGGUGUGACGCCUGCCCGGUGCCGGAAGGUUAAUUGAUGGGGUCAGCGCAAGCGAAGCUCCUGAUCGAAGCCCCGGUAAACGGCGGCCGUAACUAUAACGGUCCUAAGGUAGCGAAAUUCCUUGUCGGGUAAGUUCCGACCUGCACGAAUGGCGUAAUGAUGGCCAGGCUGUCUCCACCCGAGACUCAGUGAAAUUGAACUCGCUGUGAAGAUGCAGUGUACCCGCGGCAAGACGGAAAGACCCCGUGAACCUUUACUAUAGCUUGACACUGAACAUUGAGCCUUGAUGUGUAGGAUAGGUGGGAGGCUUUGAAGUGUGGACGCCAGUCUGCAUGGAGCCGACCUUGAAAUACCACCCUUUAAUGUUUGAUGUUCUAACGUGGACCCGUUACCCGGGUUGCGGACAGUGUCUGGUGGGUAGUUUGACUGGGGCGGUCUCCUCCUAAAGAGUAACGGAGGAGCACGAAGGUUGGCUAAUCCUGGUCGGACAUCAGGAGGUUAGUGCAAUGGCAUAAGCCAGCUUGACUGCGAGCGUGACGGCGCGAGCAGGUGCGAAAGCAGGUCAUAGUGAUCCGGUGGUUCUGAAUGGAAGGGCCAUCGCUCAACGGAUAAAAGGUACUCCGGGGAUAACAGGCUGAUACCGCCCAAGAGUUCAUAUCGACGGCGGUGUUUGGCACCUCGAUGUCGGCUCAUCACAUCCUGGGGCUGAAGUAGGUCCCAAGGGUAUGGCUGUUCGCCAUUUAAAGUGGUACGCGAGCUGGGUUUAGAACGUCGUGAGACAGUUCGGUCCCUAUCUGCCGUGGGCGCUGGAGAACUGAGGGGGGCUGCUCCUAGUACGAGAGGACCGGAGUGGACGCAUCACUGGUGUUCGGGUUGUCAUGCCAAUGGCACUGCCCGGUAGCUAAAUGCGGAAGAGAUAAGUGCUGAAAGCAUCUAAGCACGAAACUUGCCCCGAG
Molecule: ribosomal RNA, 2236 nt
Filed under: Salmonella enterica subsp. enterica serovar Enteritidis
Lineage: Bacteria; Pseudomonadati; Pseudomonadota; Gammaproteobacteria; Enterobacterales; Enterobacteriaceae
Description: partial 23S ribosomal RNA
Rfam family: Bacterial large subunit ribosomal RNA
Source: RNAcentral